CGUCCGACAAACCUGGAUUUCCGUGUCCAAUGUUGACCAUUCAUCUUAUUUAAAAAAAAUUAAAAAAACAAGUCACGCAUAAAGUAUUAAUCAUGUUUUAUCAUCUAACAACAAUAAAAAUACUAAUUAUAAAUAAUUUCAUAUAAGACGGACAGUUAAACGUUAGAUACGGAAACUCAAGAUUUGUUUUUUU
Oryza rufipogon (brownbeard rice) is the source of this 193-nucleotide microRNA precursor. It matches the Rfam family "MIR812 microRNA precursor family". The record is from Rfam. Lineage: Eukaryota; Viridiplantae; Streptophyta; Magnoliopsida; Poales; Poaceae.